Molecule: non-coding RNA, 24 nt
Filed under: Cricetulus griseus (Chinese hamster)
Lineage: Eukaryota; Metazoa; Chordata; Mammalia; Rodentia; Cricetidae
Source: RNAcentral
GAAGACAAGUGAGGCCUGAAUAUG